RNAcentral lists this long non-coding RNA (1760 nucleotides) under Helianthus annuus (common sunflower). The record is from RNAcentral. Lineage: Eukaryota; Viridiplantae; Streptophyta; Magnoliopsida; Asterales; Asteraceae.
AUGCAUGUAAUUUUUUCUUUCAAACUAUAUGUAUACGUCAUACUGUGUAUAAAAACUUUGGAAAUGAAUAGUGGCUGGCCGAUUUCCAUUGGACCGCAUGUUUUUAAAACACGUGUCCUAUCUCUGUUAACCUUAUGCCACACAUAAAAUAAACACCCGUUAAAAACCCACAGCACCUUCUCUAAUCUCAUUUUUUCUUCUGAUUUUCCACCGGUUGAAGAUGACUGGUCUUUGUUGGAAGAUCAUCAUUUUUCUCUCUCUAAAAUGAUCGAUUGCGUCUCUGAUUUGAUGUAUUUGUUGUGGUGGAACACCCACCUUUGCUGGGUUUGGUCGAUCAUGUGGUCUGCGGCGAUGUUAGUUUCGUCAUGAAACACCGACAGCUGCGUUAGGGUUCAUGAUUGUGGUCUGCGGCGAUGUUUGUUUCGUCAUGAAACACCGACGGUUGCGUUAGGGUGCACGAUUCCUUCUUCAACUGAAUGCGUUCUUCUCUAGAGACACCACAGGUGAACCAUUGUUGCUCAUGUUUGUUUCACACCCAAAGAAAGAGAGAGAUGGAGAUGCACGGUGCUCCUGCGCCUACUUCGGUGAACAGCGUCCUCUACUUCGUAUUUUAAACACAAGGGUUUUGCGAAAGCCAUGGGUCGGAAUCGGAGAUCCGCCAGCUUGCGCCACGGUAGACACAUUUUUUAUCUCAGCUGAGUCUGCUUCAGCUUCAGCUUUGUGCGUACCUUGAUCUAUGGGAUCCAACAUAUUGGGUGAGUAUCCAUGGCUAUCAUCAUUAGUAUGUUGAUUUGGAGAAUGAUCCACAUACUCUGACUUACAGAUUUUGGUUUACUCGUUGGUUAUUUGACAUUAGCUACAUUAUGGAGAAGUAUAAAUAACAUAAAAAUUGUAGAAGAUUUAAAAAGCCAAGCGUUCUAUAGGUUCCACCGUUUUUCAUCGGGCCAGACAAAGAGAUAGUUGCAGCAUAGAGAGAUAGAGAGCCAGAUAAAUCUUUCAUGAAGAAACAAGAAUGACACAUCAAUAUAUUGGAUGAAUUCUGGUGACAAGGAUGAUGAUGGUGGUAGUUGUAUCAGUGGAGCAACGGUAGUGCCUGCUAAUAGAAAUGAUGGUAACCGGUUUGAGACGAGUGGUGGAGGCGGUAAAGGAUUUGAUCUCCUCCGGCGAGUUUUCCGACUAUCAUCGGUAAGAAUCAUCCCACACUUGAAAUAUAUACUAAUUAUAGAAUCCGAAACAUAAGAUUGUAAUCUGACUAUUGAUGUUUUAGAGGUUAAUAGAUGUUGUUGAUGGUGAAUCCCGGUUAUAAAAGUGAGGGGAUGCCAUGUUAAUGUUCGGUGCAGUUAAUGGUGGCUGGUUGUAUAUAAUGGUUGUUAACAACCGUAGAACAGUAGUGAUAGGAGGAAACGAUGAUGGAGUUCUGGCGAAUGGUUGUGGUUGUGCCCGAUUGAAUCAGUGGUGGUUAUUUGGUUAGUUCCUUUUACUUUUUAUUCUUUUGACAAAAUUCAAUUCCGAUACUUCAAAGUUCACAUGUGUUUACAAAUUAUGAUUCCUAUGAUUUUUUUUCCGAAUCAAAGAAUAAAGAGUUUUAUGAAUCAAGCUCCACUAAUACUGUCACCACCACAACCUCUGCCCACCCCACUCUUGAAAAAAAAUUAUGAACAAAAACUCAAAUACACUUGUGUCCAGAUUGCCUAUAAGAUAUAAUUUAAACUGUUAUGAUGUUUUGGUUGCCGUAGAUUGGAAAUUAACUAUAUAUGAUU